Molecule: long non-coding RNA, 704 nt
Filed under: Zostera marina
Lineage: Eukaryota; Viridiplantae; Streptophyta; Magnoliopsida; Alismatales; Zosteraceae
Description: long non-coding RNA (ZMAR_LNC005265)
Source: RNAcentral
AUGCUUUCGAUUUUAUUUUAUUCAUUUAAAAACCUCUUGAAGUCUUUUGGGUCUGGGAGUGAUAAUUAACAACAAUUAUAAAAUUCAUUAAUUGAACUCAUGGUUUAUAAAUAAACCUAGGGUUAUUCUUUUCCUAAAUUUUUAAAAUGGUAUCAGAAUCAGACUGUCGGUGUACGACUGACUGUACGAUGGAGCACAAAACCAGAGGUAUGAGAUCAAAAUUAUAUAAACAGCAAAAUCAGCUAGACUUUGUAAAUGCAUUUUAAAAUUCAAAUAAAUCAUACAUGUCUCUUACCAUGUCCGGAUGUAGCGUUUUGAAUUGUCAAAGUGGUUUUCUGAUACGAGACUUGGGUUACAACUGAUCCAUCCUAACCGAUAACGGUGAACCAAGUGGUUUCUCACCUCUACAUGCUGCUUCCUGGUAAUGAAGUUGCAAAGGAGUCAUCAAAUUGAGCUAUGAUCCUGCAAAAUAUGAGUAGAUGAUUCAGUAAACACUAAGAAAUGACCCGUGAAUCUCUAAUUAUUUUCUUAUUUCCGGAAUCUCUGUAAAAUGUAUCUAAAUGGUUUAUGACAUACAUCAUAAAAAAACACUUUGAUUGGACCAAACACCUUCAUAUAAAUAUUCAUACAUGGUAAUAAAAAAGGUAAAACAAUUUGACUGACCAGACAAAUGUAUAUAAUUAACCAGCCAAAUUAAAAGUAUG